UGAGUACGAGCUGCUACGGCAGCGAAGUGGGUGAUGUCAUGCUUCCAAGAAAAGCCCUAUACCCGUUAAGGCAUCACUGCCUGUACCCGAAACCGACACAGGUAGGGUGGUAGAGAAUACCGAGGGGCGCGAGGUAACUCUCUCUAAGGAACUCGGCAAAAUGGCCCCGUAACUUCGGGAGAAGGGGUGCCACCGCAAGGUGGUCGCAGUGAAGAGGCCCAGGCGACUGUUUACCAAAAACACAGGUCUCCGCUAAGUCGCAAGACGAUGUAUGGGGGCUGACGCCUGCCCAGUGCCGGAAGGUUAAGGAAGCUGGUCAGCGCAAGCGAAGCUGGCGACUGAAGCCCCGGUGAACGGCGGCCGUAACAAUAACGGUCCUAAGGUAGCGAAAUUCCUUGUCGGGUAAGUUCCGACCCGCACGAAAGGCGUAAUGAUUUGGAUUCUGUCUCAGAGAGGGACUCGGUGAAAUAGACUUGUCUGUGAAGAUGCGGACUACCUGCACCAGGACAGAAAGACCCUAUGAAGCUUUACUGUAACUUGAAAUUGAAAUUGGACUUUAGUUGCGCAGUAUAGGUGGGAGGCGUUGAGUUUAUUCUUGCGGGAAUUUAGGAGCCAUCAGUGAGAUACCACUCUGCUAAUGUUAGAUUUCUAACUUUGCAUCAUAAUCCGGUCAAAGAACAGUUUCAGGCGGGCAGUUUGACUGGGGCGGUCGCCUCCUAAAUGGUAACGGAGGCGUACAAAGGUUUCCUCUGAACGUGUAGAAAUCGUAUCUAGAGUAUAAAGGCAUAAGGAAGCUUGACUGUGAGACUUACAAGUCAAGCAGGGACGAAAGUCGGUCUUAGUGACCUGACGGUGCUGAGUGGAAAGGCCGUCACUCAACGGAUAAAAGUUACUCUAAGGAUAACAGGCUGAUCUCCCCCAAGAGUUCACAUCGACGGGGAGGUUUGGCACCUCGAUGUCGGCUCAUCGCAUCCUGGGGCGGUAGUACGUCCCAAGGGUUGGGCUGUUCGCCCAUGAAAGCGGUACGCGAGCUGGGUUCAGAACGUCGUGAGACAGUUCGGUCCAUAUCCGGUGUAGGCGUUAGAAUAUUGAGAGGAGCCUUCUUUAGUACGAGAGGACCGAGAAGGACAUACCUCUGGUGUACCAGUUAUCGUGCCAACGGUAAACGCUGGGUAGCUAUGUAUGGAGUGGAUAACCGCUGAAAGCAUCUAAGAGGGAAGCCCACCUCAAGAUAAG
This 1236-nucleotide ribosomal RNA is filed under the name metagenome. RNAcentral describes it as "bacterial LSU rRNA". It matches the Rfam family "Bacterial large subunit ribosomal RNA", at positions 1564 to 2808 of the family's 2925-position model. The record is from RNAcentral.